RNAcentral lists this ribosomal RNA (403 nucleotides) under uncultured bacterium. Its description in RNAcentral is "partial 16S ribosomal RNA". It matches the Rfam family "Bacterial small subunit ribosomal RNA", at positions 30 to 526 of the family's 1533-position model. The record is from RNAcentral.
AUUGAACGCUGGCGGCAGGCCUAACACAUGCAAGUCGAGCGAGCGGCGGACGGGCGAGUAAUGUAUGGGGACUGCCCGAUCGAGGGGGCUAACUACUGGAAACGGUGGCUAAUACCGCAUACUAUCGGAUAACCCAUAUGGGAUUAGCUAGUGGGUGGGGUAAAGGCUCACCUAGGCGACGAUCUCUAGCUGGUCUGAGAGGAUGAUCAGCCACACUGGGACUGAGACACGGCCCAGACUCCUACGGAGGCAGCAGUAGGGAAUAUUGCACAAUGGACGCAAGCCUGAUGCAGCCAUGCCGCGUGUAUGAAGAAGGCCUUAGGGUUGUAAAGUACUUUCAGCAGAGAAGCGUUACCCAAAGAAGAAGCACCGGCUAACUCCGUGCCAGCCGCCGCGGUAAUUC